CCCUUAGAUGUCCUGGGCUGCACGCGCGCUACACUGGAAGUUACGGAUUGAGAUACUACCUUGUCCGAAAUGGUCCGGGUAAUCACCUAAAAGCUUGUCAUAAUUGGAAUGGAUUAUUGUAACUAGUAAUACUGAACGAGGAAUUCCUAGUAAGUCCCAGUCAACAGCUGGUACUGAUUACGUCCCUGCCCUUUGUACACACCGCCCGUCGCUACUACUGAUUGGACGUUUAAGCAAGAUUUUUAAACACUGACAGUGUGUAGUUCACGCUAUACUACAGUGAGAAGAAGAAGAUCGAGCUUACUUGUCUAGAGGAAGUAAAAGUCGUAACA
RNAcentral lists this ribosomal RNA (332 nucleotides) under uncultured eukaryote. RNAcentral's name for it is "partial 18S ribosomal RNA". It matches the Rfam family "Eukaryotic small subunit ribosomal RNA", at positions 1470 to 1796 of the family's 1831-position model. The record is from RNAcentral.